GACGAACGCUGGCGGCGCGCUUAACACAUGCAAGUCGAGCGAAGCGGCGGACGGGUGAGUAACACGUGAGUAACCUGCCUUAGACAUUGGGAUAGCCUCGGGAAACCGGGAUUAAUACCAAAUGGUCUAAGAUGGACUCGCGUCCCAUUAGAGAGUUGGUGAGGUAACGGCCCACCAAGGAGACGAGGGGUAGCCGGCCUGAGAGGGUGAACGGCCACAUUGGAAGUGAGAGACGGCCCAGACGGUACGGGAGGGAGCAGUGGGGGAUAUUGCAAAAUGGGGGAAAGGCUGAGGCAGGGACGCCGCGUGGGGGAUGAAGGCUUUCGGGUUGUAAACCUCUUUCGCUAUCGAACGGGUAGGUGGAGAAGAAGCGCCGGCUAACUACGUGCCAGCAGCCGCGGUAAUUC
This 407-nucleotide ribosomal RNA is filed under the name uncultured bacterium. RNAcentral's name for it is "partial 16S ribosomal RNA". It matches the Rfam family "Bacterial small subunit ribosomal RNA", at positions 28 to 526 of the family's 1533-position model. The record is from RNAcentral.